This 253-nucleotide ribosomal RNA is filed under the name uncultured bacterium. RNAcentral describes it as "partial 16S ribosomal RNA". It matches the Rfam family "Bacterial small subunit ribosomal RNA", at positions 524 to 776 of the family's 1533-position model. The record is from RNAcentral.
UACGUAGGGGGCCAGCGUUGUUCGGAUUUACUGGGCGUAAAGAGCGCGCAGGCGGUCGUUCAAGUCGGGGGUGAAAGCCCUCGGCUCAACUGGGGAGCGUCAUUCGAGACUGAUCGGCUGGAAGGCGGGAGAGGGAAGCGGAAUUCCCGGUGUAGUGGUGAAAUGCGUAGAUAUUGGGAGGAACACCAGUGGCGAAGGCGGCUUCCUGGACCGGUACUGACGCUGAGGCGCGAAAGCGUGGGGAGCAAACAGG